Molecule: ribosomal RNA, 254 nt
Filed under: uncultured bacterium
Lineage: Bacteria
Description: partial 16S ribosomal RNA
Rfam family: Bacterial small subunit ribosomal RNA
Source: RNAcentral
UACGUAGGGUGCAAGCGUUGUCCGGAAUUAUUGGGCGUAAAGAGCUCGUAGGCGGUUUGUCGCGUCUGCUGUGAAAAUCCAGGGCUUAACCCUGGACCUGCAGUGGGUACGGGCAGACUGGAGUGCGGUAGGGGAGAUCGGAAUUCCUGGUGUAGCGGUGAAAUGCGUAGAGAUCGGGAGGAACACCAGCGGCGAAGGCGGCUUACUGGACAGUUACGUGACGCUCAUGCACGAAAGCGUGGGGAGCAAACAGG